GAGGAUCAACAUCAUCUUGAUAGAGUCCCAUAGUGUCUCAAAGUGGGGAGGUUAGGAUGCUGGUUAGUCAUGGAGUAUUUUCAGAGUGGAAGUUGAUCAGUGACGUUUUGUCAGGGAUUGAUCCAAUUUAUAAACUAGGUAAAAGAGAAAGAUUAUAAUGUAUAUUCAUUCAUUUAAUUCAUAAUCGUUCCUGUGGAUUUGAGAGUGGUUAUAUGGGCAGUCACCCAGGAACAAAGGACAAGAGGAUUGUCACUUAUGCCUUCAGGAAAUGUUUAUUGAAUGUCUACUAUGGGCCAGAAACAACAGACAGAAAUGCAGCUCUCAUUCUCGUGUGGGAGGCCCCAAACUACAAUUUCAAUAACACCAUUAAAAUCUUGGGCAACAAAGAUAAUAUGUAAUUACCUGAUAAAUUCGAAAGAUGUGAUGAACAAAUAAAAAAGAUCGUCUUGAGCCAGAAUACACACGUGUCCUUCCAGCGUGGAGAUUACUGUGAACUUGCAAACCAGCUUUCGUGCAGAAGGGGGCGAGAGAAUAGGUGGAAAAGAAUAUUGUCAAAUAAUUUUGAAAUUUAUCUCCUAACAUUUUCUGACCAUCUAUUAUUGAGAAAGGAAACAGUUUUUUAAAGCAAUGGCAUGAUUGUACAGUAAACCCUGAAGUGAAAUAUACCCAAAAAAUGUAUUUGUCAAGCAAUCACAUUUUGAUAACUUACAGACAUUUGCAAUUUAUCUUUCUUUUUUCCUCAAAUGGGGAAGAACAAAGUUAAUUUAAGUGAAAUGAAAUAAAAAUUAAAUUAAAAAAUGAAAAAAACCUUAAAAAAAAAAAAAAAAAA
RNAcentral lists this long non-coding RNA (829 nucleotides) under Homo sapiens (human). Its description in RNAcentral is "BMAL2 antisense RNA 1 (BMAL2-AS1)". The record is from RNAcentral. Lineage: Eukaryota; Metazoa; Chordata; Mammalia; Primates; Hominidae.